CGGGGUGUAGCGCAGUUUGGUUAGCGUACUUGACUGGGGGUCAAGGGGCCGUGAGUUCGAAUCUCACCACUCCGACCA
This 78-nucleotide transfer RNA is filed under the name Eubacteriales Family XIII. Incertae Sedis bacterium. RNAcentral describes it as "tRNA-Pro". It matches the Rfam family "tRNA". From Rfam's summary of the family: Transfer RNA (tRNA) molecules are approximately 80 nucleotides in length. Their secondary structure includes four short double-helical elements and three loops (D, anti-codon, and T loops). The record is from RNAcentral. Lineage: Bacteria; Bacillati; Bacillota; Clostridia; Peptostreptococcales; Anaerovoracaceae.